GUCCGCGGAUAAUAUGGGCUUGAC
This 24-nucleotide non-coding RNA is filed under the name Arabidopsis thaliana (thale cress). Lineage: Eukaryota; Viridiplantae; Streptophyta; Magnoliopsida; Brassicales; Brassicaceae. The record is from RNAcentral.